GACCCCUAAGGCGAGGCCGAAAGGCGUAGUCGAUGGGAAACAGGUUAAUAUUCCUGUACUUGGUGUUACUGCGAAGGGGGGACGGAGAAGGCUAUGUUGGCCGGGCGACGGUUGUCCCGGUUUAAGCGUGUAGGCUGAUUUUCCAGGCAAAUCCGGAAAAUCAAGGCUGAGGCGUGAUGACGAGGCACUACGGUGCUGAAGCAACAAAUGCCCUGCUUCCAGGAAAAGCCUCUAAGCAUCAGGUAACAUCAAAUCGUACCCCAAACCGACACAGGUGGUCAGGUAGAGAAUACCAAGGCGCUUGAGAGAACUCGGGUGAAGGAACUAGGCAAAAUGGUGCCGUAACUUCGGGAGAAGGCACGCUGAUAUGUAGGUGAAGCGACUUGCUCGUGGAGCUGAAAUCAGUCGAAGAUACCAGCUGGCUGCAACUGUUUAUUAAAAACACAGCACUGUGCAAACACGAAAGUGGACGUAUACGGUGUGACGCCUGCCCGGUGCCGGAAGGUUAAUUGAUGGGGUUAGCGGUAACGCGAAGCUCUUGAUCGAAGCCCCGGUAAACGGCGGCCGUAACUAUAACGGUCCUAAGGUAGCGAAAUUCCUUGUCGGGUAAGUUCCGACCUGCACGAAUGGCGUAAUGAUGGCCAGGCUGUCUCCACCCGAGACUCAGUGAAAUUGAACUCGCUGUGAAGAUGCAGUGUACCCGCGGCAAGACGGAAAGACCCCGUGAACCUUUACUAUAGCUUGACACUGAACAUUGAGCCUUGAUGUGUAGGAUAGGUGGGAGGCUUUGAAGUGUGGACGCCAGUCUGCAUGGAGCCGACCUUGAAAUACCACCCUUUAAUGUUUGAUGUUCUAACGUUGGCCCGUUAUCCGGGUUGCGGACAGUGUCUGGUGGGUAGUUUGACUGGGGCGGUCUCCUCCUAAAGAGUAACGGAGGAGCACGAAGGUUGGCUAAUCCUGGUCGGACAUCAGGAGGUUAGUGCAAUGGCAUAAGCCAGCUUGACUGCGAGCGUGACGGCGCGAGCAGGUGCGAAAGCAGGUCAUAGUGAUCCGGUGGUUCUGAAUGGAAGGGCCAUCGCUCAACGGAUAAAAGGUACUCCGGGGAUAACAGGCUGAUACCGCCCAAGAGUUCAUAUCGACGGCGGUGUUUGGCACCUCGAUGUCGGCUCAUCACAUCCUGGGGCUGAAGUAGGUCCCAAGGGUAUGGCUGUUCGCCAUUUAAAGUGGUACGCGAGCUGGGUUUAGAACGUCGUGAGACAGUUCGGUCCCUAUCUGCCGUGGGCGCUGGAGAACUGAGGGGGGCUGCUCCUAGUACGAGAGGACCGGAGUGGACGCAUCACUGGUGUUCGGGUUGUCAUGCCAAUGGCACUGCCCGGUAGCUAAAUGCGGAAGAGAUAAGUGCUGAAAGCAUCUAAGCACGAAACUUGCCCCG
RNAcentral lists this ribosomal RNA (1432 nucleotides) under Escherichia coli. RNAcentral's name for it is "partial 23S ribosomal RNA". It matches the Rfam family "Bacterial large subunit ribosomal RNA", at positions 1386 to 2801 of the family's 2925-position model. The record is from RNAcentral. Lineage: Bacteria; Pseudomonadati; Pseudomonadota; Gammaproteobacteria; Enterobacterales; Enterobacteriaceae.